UCUCGGCCUCCCAAAGUGCUGGGAUUACAGGCUUGAGCCACCGCGCCUGGCCAGAAACAUCUUAAACCACAAUUGUAAUAUUAUAACUCUUACCAAAUGGGACGGCUUCAAAAAAUGAACCCGAAAACUUAAUUUCUGUGAGUUUCUUACAGGAAGCAAGUACAGUCAUGAGAGACUCAAAAUCCGAAAAGGAGUUACACUUCAGAUGGAAAACAUGAAGUCUUUUCCAGUGAACUCUGAUGAAGUGUUCCACCAAAAUGAGUGAGUGAACCAAGAAGAGGAUGACAUUAGAUCCGGGAGAUACAACAGAGGAGAUAAUCUCCAGGAUGCCUGUGAAGAAAGAUCCCUGGAUCCCAGGAUGAUUAUAGGACAAGUUGUUCAUAAUCCAGCAGGCCAGAAGAUUUCCAGGGAAACUCAUUCAAGAAGGUGAAAAUUAUGGAUGACUGCUUCAAGAUGAAAAUGGGCCAAGCACAGCGGCUCACGCCUGUAAUUCCAGCACUUUGGGAGGUUGAGGUGGGUGGAUCACCUGAGGUCAGGAGUUCCAGACUAGCCUGGCCAACAUGGCAAAACCCCAUCUCUAUUAAAAAUACAAAAAUUAGCCAGGCAUAGUGGUGCACGCCUGUAGUCCCAGCUACUUGGGAUGCUGAGGCAGGGAGAAUUGCUUGAACCUGGGAGGCAGAGGUUGCAGUGAGCCAAGAUCAUGCCACUGUACUCCAGCCUGGGUGACAGAACAAGACUCCAUCUCAAAGAAAAAAAAAAAGACAAAUAUGAUGAUGACUCUUUCAGGAAAUGAAAAUGAUGAGAUAUCUGGUAGGUCUGGAUGACUUAAGAGGAGAUUUAAACAUUUGGGAUAAUUUAAAGAUGAGCUGGUGUUCGUCUUUAUUUACUUAAAUAAAUGAAAUGAUUAAUAUGUGAA
Molecule: non-coding RNA, 916 nt
Organism: Macaca mulatta (Rhesus monkey)
Lineage: Eukaryota; Metazoa; Chordata; Mammalia; Primates; Cercopithecidae
Source: RefSeq, a predicted model, not a curated record